RNAcentral lists this long non-coding RNA (3692 nucleotides) under Anas zonorhyncha (Eastern spot-billed duck). Its description in RNAcentral is "lncRNA (ENSAZOG00000015480.1)". The record is from RNAcentral. Lineage: Eukaryota; Metazoa; Chordata; Aves; Anseriformes; Anatidae.
GUUGUAUCAGUGGAAGCCAAUGAAAAUUGAGGCCAGGAAAUAUAGUGAACCUUCAGCUCAACUACUUCUCUAACCAUGGGGUCUCAGCAUGUAGUGAGUAGCUGGUGUCGUGGUUCAGCAGGAUGUCAGUGGCUUGGGACUGUCCUGCAUGACUUUUGCUUCUGCUGUGUUAUCCAGCCUCAAUUCUGCCUACUUCUUAUCCUGCGUGUUUUGGAGCUGGAAUCUGUCAUCACUGGCCUCUGCUUGGUGUUUCCUUCAGGAUCGUUACAGAUUUACACCUGCUGAGAUUCUGCUCCUGUGUGUCUUAUCUUCACAAAUACUCUUCUGUAUGCUGAACUUGUUGGAAGGAAAGAGAAGGCAGCAUGGAAGAGAUGCACACUACAGCUGUUCCUACAAAAAAAAAAAAAAAAAAGGCCCUACAGAUUAAGGGGCUUCACUUCUUUUACAUCUUUAAUUUGUUAACUUUUAGCUACGUUGGAUUUGCCUGAAGAAAGGUUUCAACCAGCAGGACAAAGCAGAUGAAUGUCAUAGCUCAUACACAGUCUCGUUUGGCACCUCCAUCAUCAUAAAUACAUUUAUAGACCCCAUAACUGUGAAGUACUGUGUUUUUAUUUUUCCUUUGUUCCCUGUCCCAUUUCUUGCCUCUUUGCUCUAAGUGCACAGAAGGCCCAAAGCAUAAAAACAUCCUGACCAGUAUGAGCACAAAAUACACUGUAAGGGCACAGUAUAAACUUGUAUAAAUAGAAAAAUCUUUCAGGUCAUAAAGCAUUGCUAGCAUAUGGCAGGUCAGAAGAUGAUUCAAUUCAACUUCUGUCACGAGGUAUCUCAAUGUUAAUAAACUGUUUCAUAUCUUUAUGUAGUUAUUUUUGUACUUCUAUAACAACUAGUCUGCAGAAACACUGGAAUAAAAGGUAUCCAUGCCUUCCCACAUGAACAUGAGCAGGUUUUCAUUGGUUUGGGCAAUCGAAUCCCCACUGUGAACCAGUCCUGCAGCCCAGGAUCUGGAUUUUGCCCAAGAACAGUGAAAAGUGGAACCAGUGAUGGACUUCAGAACCGAAAAUUUGAACACUGCAACAAGUAAUAACAUGUGCCCUGUAGGAGACCUGAUCACUGUGAAAGGAGCAAAUCUGAGUUUGGUCCAGAAUGGCUGCUGUAUGGAAGAAUGACCUGGUCAGCUCAGCUGAUGAGAGAGGUCCUCCUGUUCUCCUGUGCUGCCCUGGAAGUGAGUUACUUCUGUCCAUUUGAGAUCUGCAGCUCUGAAUCUUUUCCAAGUGAAAAGCCUGGAAAAGUUAUUUUCAGUUAUUUUCACUAAAAUCACAACCGUCAGAUGAGGAGCCAUUGUCUACUUUUCUAAUAUAUUAUUGCUUCUUGGUGAGUUUUUUUGCCUGUGAGGUAGGAGAGAACAGCUCACUUUUCUGUUUAGCUUCAGAUAGUUCUAGUAUACAUUUACCUUUCCUGCAUCUGUUAACCAUGGACCUUGUUUCUGUAGAAAAUCACUCUGUCUUGCACACUGUGCUCCAUUGGCUAUGACCAUGUAUAGAGUCUAAUAAUUGUAAAUUAGCAGGCAGUAGGGGAAGUUUGGGUUCUGGUCCAGUCCCUGCUCUCAAGACUGCCUAGUUAUUUUAUGUUGACUUUUCAUUAGAUGAAAUCUAGAAACUAUUCUCUAUGCAAGGCUUAGAACAGAGUCGGUAAUUGUAGAUGAAUCUUUAUUACAGAUAAGGCUUUAAGAAAAGGAAAGUGUUCAUCUAGCAAAGUUGGCAUCAUUAACCUCUUCUGCUCUUGGGGGGUCAAGAGGGUAAGAAGCUGAAUCUCAGUGAAGAACAGUUUCUGAAGUGGUACUUUUGCAGCCAAGUAAAAUUACUUUUAGGUAUUAUGGGUUGGAUUAAACCUCUCUGAAAGUUACUGUACGUUCCAGUAAAUAAGCAGCCUCCUUCAUGAAACUCAAAAUCAGAAGCAGUUGUGCUGUACACAGAAAAUAAUCAGAUUUACUUUGUGGUAUGUAAUCUUAGAUAGCUAUAUUCAAAAUACUGAACCACUACAAUAUUGAAUUUCAAGUUUGCAAGUGGUGACAUGAUGGAACGAAUAGGCAAUGAAUUACAAUUUAUCAUCUGUACACUAUUUGUCUGGAAACUGUGCUCCUGUCCCAUGGUAGAUGCUGUUUGAUUUGGAGGUGGAAAUGUACUGGUGGUCAAAAUGAGGGAUAUUUCAAUUACAUUUGCAGUAGAAGUGCUUGUCGUUGAUUGGGGUGAUGAGUUUAUCUGUUCAAAUGUUGUUAAAUUAUGUUAACCUCUUCAGAACCUGAUUUCCUCCCUACAGAUUCUUUCAGAAUCCUUUCCAAAGUCUGCGCUGAAGGAGGACUUUAUGUUAUAUAUACGUAGUUAUGAAUAUACAGAAUUAGAUAUAUCAGUAUGAAAAUAAGUUCACCUUCAGGAAAAAAAAAAAAAAAAGUAAAGAAUCCAACUUCACAGUUCUUGCAACCAGUGAUAAGCAAUUUGUUACACUACCAGGCCCUGCAUUAUUUUAUGCCUAUAUGAUGAUUAUCAUUUUUUCUUUCUGGUUAAGAGCCUAUAAUUUUAUUCCUCUCCUUCCUUGCAGGUGAGAGUUCAAAAGUAGCAGGUUUUUUUCUGGUUUAUAUUGCAGGCUUUGGACACCGCCAAAAUCUUUCUCUGCCUUCAUUCUCAGUCUUGUGUUUGUAGGUCUUACUUUUCUUUUUUGGUGUAGCUAUUUAGAUUGCACCCUCUUGAAACAGCAACACUGUCAUCAUAUUAUUUUCAGCGCUUGGAACAGUGCAUUGGCAUAACUAGAGCCUUGAAUUAUGGAAUUAAAUAUUGGUACAUUCAUAGUUAUAUGUAUUAGUUAUUUAUUUAUUUUAUAUUAAAAUAAAAUGAUACAAAGGAUAGGAACCAUCUUUGGCAAGUUCUGGUUCCAACCAAAGUAAAGCUAACUGCUUACAGGUUUGUUUUCCCUUCUGAAUGCAUGUAUUUAUCUUUACAAAUCACACAGCAGGAGUGAAGCUGCACAUUCAUUUGACCUUAACUGUAAGAGCUAAGCCUUCUUCAUGUUGACAUGUGUAAGAACCUGAAUCUGUCAUUCCUUUGAAAGAAAAACUUUCUAGUCUUUGAGCUGUUCUUUUAACAAAAGCUUCAGACCAUUGUUCCUCAUGAAUAUUAAUCACACAUGAAAAAAUCAAGUCACAGCUCUGGUGACAGCAUUUGCUUUCUGAGUCUUCUGGCAUGCCUUGCCAAAUGUUAUUUUUGGUAGAACCUCUGAACUAUUUUGCUGCUAAUGGCCUGAAUUAGAGAUGUGUUCAUCCGGUACAGUACAAUGGUGUUCUUAACAUGUGAUUACAUAAAAAGCAGUCAAUAAAUUACUUAGGUUUUACUUUAAAUAGAAAAAUGUCUCUGCCUUUUAGUUUCGUUUAGCUUGGAAUUGACCUGUAUGGCAGUUUGUUACCUUAGGAAAGCGUCUGUGGUAUUCCUUAAGUGCAGUACUGUUAGGUGAAGGCUAAGUGGAAGAAGAGCACUUCUGUCAUCACCUCUGAUGUGUGCACUAUCCUCAGCCCCAGUGUCAGUACCUGGGAAUUUAGGCAUCCUCAGGAAGUUCAGGUUUUGUCCAAAGUGUGGCUCCAGGCUCUGUCCUAGAGCUCAUCCUUUGGAGAAAAAAAUAUCCUGCUCUUCACAGCUCCACUUGAC